GACGAACGCUGGCGGCGUGCUUAACACAUGCAAGUCGAGCGGUAAGGCCCUUUCGGGGGUACACGAGCGGCGAACGGGUGAGUAACACGUGGGUGACCUGCCCUCAGCUCUGGGAUAAGCCUGGGAAACUGGGUCUAAUACUGGAUAUGACUCCACGGUGCAUGUCGUGGGGUGGAAAGCCUUGUGCGGCUGAGGAUGGGCCCGCGGCCUAUCAGCUUGUUGGUGGGGGAUGGCCUACCAAGGCGACGACGGGUAGCCGGCCUGAGAGGGCGACCGGCCACACUGGGACUGAGACACGGCCCAGACUCCUACGGGAGGCAGCAGUGGGGAAUCUUGCGCAAUGGGCGAAAGCCUGACGCAGCGACGCCGCGUGAGGGAUGACGG
Molecule: ribosomal RNA, 384 nt
Filed under: uncultured bacterium
Lineage: Bacteria
Description: bacterial SSU rRNA
Rfam family: Bacterial small subunit ribosomal RNA
Source: RNAcentral